This 81-nucleotide transfer RNA is filed under the name Endocarpon pusillum. RNAcentral describes it as "tRNA-Ser (CGA) (tRNA-Ser-CGA-1-1)". It matches the Rfam family "tRNA". Rfam says of the family: Transfer RNA (tRNA) molecules are approximately 80 nucleotides in length. Their secondary structure includes four short double-helical elements and three loops (D, anti-codon, and T loops). Further hydrogen bonds mediate the characteristic L-shaped molecular structure. tRNAs have two regions of fundamental functional importance: the anti-codon, which is responsible for specific mRNA codon recognition, and the 3' end, to which the tRNAs corresponding amino acid is attached (by aminoacyl-tRNA synthetases). tRNAs cope with the degeneracy of the genetic code in two manners: having more than one tRNA (with a specific anti-codon) for a particular amino acid; and 'wobble' base-pairing, i.e. permitting non-standard base-pairing at the 3rd anti-codon position. Lineage: Eukaryota; Fungi; Ascomycota; Eurotiomycetes; Verrucariales; Verrucariaceae. The record is from RNAcentral.
GACACUAUGGCCGAGUGGUUAAGGCGGCAGACUCGAAAUCUGCUGGGUUCGCCCGCACAGGUUCAAAUCCUGUUGGUGUCG